RNAcentral lists this unclassified non-coding RNA (1807 nucleotides) under Stylophora pistillata. Its description in RNAcentral is "target of EGR1 protein 1-like, transcript variant X1". The record is from RNAcentral. Lineage: Eukaryota; Metazoa; Cnidaria; Anthozoa; Scleractinia; Pocilloporidae.
AUGGCUGCGCGCUUUGAGAACGUUCCUGUGGUCGAAGUUUCAGCGGACAAUUUUGCCGUAUUAUGGCCUUUCAUGAUUCGCGCGAUAAACAAAUCCUCAUUCGUGGCACUGGACACGGAGAUGAGUGGAAUUGGAGAAAGAAAAAAUCUAAUGACUCAAUUUGUGGAGGAUCGGUAUAAAUACAUGUGUGAAGUGGCCCAAUCCAGAGCCAUUCUCUCUCUUGGUAUUUCUUGUUUCAAACUGAAGAAGAGAAAGAUGAGAAAUGAUACAGACUGCAAAGAAUCGGAUACAAAACUGAACAUCAGGAUCAAGACAUUCAACAUUGUUGUCCUCUGCACGGAAAACUUUGUAGUAGAACCAGUGUCUCUGACAUUUUUGGUCGGACAUGGCUUUGACUUUAACAAACAGUAUGCUAAAGGUGUUCCAUAUUCGAGAGGAGAUGACAAGGUAAUUUCUGGUACACCGCAGUACUCUGUGAGAAAUCUCUUCAAUCAACUCAUUCUUGCCAAUAAACCUGUUGUUGUUCACAAUGGGUUUUUGGACUUGGUGUUCCUAUAUCAGAACUUUUAUUGCAAGUUACCCGACAAACUGCAAGUGUUUACUGCAGAUUUAACAGAAAUGUUUCCAGCUGGUGUAUUUGAUACCAAGUUUGUGUCAGAGUACAGUGUGAGAGAACCUGCUUCAUUCUUGCUCUAUGUUUUCAAAAAGUGUCAAAGGACCAAUAUACAACAUGAAAACCAAGGAAGAAAGCAUGUUUGUCUGAAAUUUCGCGAGGAAGUUUCGUUAUCAUGUUUCACUGAGCACAUCUAUUGUGGAGCACGUGAUGAAAACGAAGCUGUUGAUACUGACGUCAUAGUGUGUGAGAAAUUUGCGGCUUAUGGAUUUUGUCCACGGGAAAAAUCUUGUCAAUUUUCACACGACGUCGAUGAUGUUUUAGAUCGGGAGUGGAAAGUGAAAGAAACCAAGAGGCUGAAGCGAAAACGAAAGCGUCACAACUCCGGCAAUAAUGAACACGAUGUAACUAAAACACGCGGUACUGAAAAUUCGCCCCCAACAGACACUUCCGAGGAAGUGUGUGCACGUGAUAAGCAAGACACUCACAUGACGUAUCCACGUGAUGCUCACGUGAGUCAGUCCAACGGUGUCAAGACACGUGACUGUGGUCACAGAGCGGGUUUCGAUGCGUUUAUGACCGGCUAUUGUAUGGCGACUUAUCUUCUUCAGCUUGGCAAGGAAAGUGUUGAUAACGAACUCACCCUCUCCUCCCUGGUGGAUGUUUCGAACAAGCUAAGCCUUCCAAGGAAAGACGUUCCAUUACAAAUAACACGAAGUCAUUUUAUCCGACCGUCAACCACGCACACUGAGAAACUUAAGCGACUGAAAAAUCAGCUUCAGUCGCCGGAACAGUCAUAAUGGAAUAUUUAGCUGGGCUAAAACUCUUUGUAACAUUUCAUUGUCAUUAAUUUUUGAAGUACCCCAUCCUAAAACUUCUCUUUUAUUUAUUUUUAUUUUUUAUCGCAUCCUUGCUUCAUUUGCCGUUUUGCAUUGCCUUCGUCUUUCUUGUCCAAAAUUUAAAUGAUUUUGUAUUCUUGAAAAGUGAAUUUUAUACAUGUUAUCUUUGGUUGUUUUCCCCUUUUGCAAAGUAUUAUUUUUCUUUCGUUUCCUCUUCCUUUUUUUUGAUAGGGGCAAAGGUAACCUCAUUCCCGAGAUAUGUUGAUUUUCUCCGUUCCUACAUUGUUGUUUCAGAGGAAACUGUCUUUUUUCGGGGCGAACCGGGUUUGUCGAAGGAUCGAAGCAGUGUGCACAU